This 656-nucleotide ribosomal RNA is filed under the name uncultured Tricholomataceae. RNAcentral's name for it is "eukaryotic LSU rRNA". The stretch from base 272 to 425 matches the Rfam family "5.8S ribosomal RNA". The record is from RNAcentral. Lineage: Eukaryota; Fungi; Basidiomycota; Agaricomycetes; Agaricales; Tricholomataceae.
GCAAGGUUUCCGUAGGUGAACCUGCGGAAGGAUCAUUAUUGAAUACGAUUGGUACUGAUGCUGGCUCUUAACUGAGCAUGUGCUCGUCCAUCUAUUUAUCUUCUCUUGUGCACAUUUUGUAGUCUUGAACGUACCUCUCGCAGUAAAAUGCGGGUUGGGAGCUUGGGCGCAAGCCCUUCUCCUGCUUCUUCAAGGCUAUGUUUUCAUAUACACUAUAAAGUUACAGAAUGUCUUUUAACGAUUGCGCUUGUCGUAGUCAUUAAACCUAUACAACUUUCAGCAACGGAUCUCUUGGCUCUCCUAUCGAUGAAGAACGCAGCGAAAUGCGAUAAGUAAUGUGAAUUGCAGAAUUCAGUGAAUCAUCGAAUCUUUGAACGCACCUUGCGCCCUUUGGUAUUCCGAAGGGCAUGCCUGUUUGAGUGUCAUUAAAUUAUCAACCUUGCUCGCUUUUACCGGCUUGAGUUAGGCUCGGACUUGAGGGCUUGCUGGCUUCCUUCAGUGGAUGGUCUGCUCCCUUUAAAUGCAUUAGUGGGAUCUCUUGUGGACCGUCACUUGGUGUGAUAAUUAUCUAUGCCACUUGACCUUGAAGCAAACCUUAUGGGAACCCGCUCAUAACCGUCUUCGGACAACUUUUGACAUUUUGACCUCAAAUCAGG